GACGAACGCGGGCGGCGUGCUUAACACAUGCAAGUCGAACGUGAUUUUUGUGGAAAUUCUUUCGGGAAUGGAAAUGAAAUGAAAGUGGCGAACGGGUGAGUAACACGUGAGCAACCUACCUUACACAGGGGGAUAGCCGUUGGAAACGACGAUUAAUACCGCAUGAGACCACAGAAUCGCAUGAUAUAGGGGUCAAAGAUUCAUCGGUGUAAGAAGGGCUCGCGUCUGAUAAGCUAGUUGGAAGGGUAAAGGCCUACCAAGGCGACGAUCAGUAGCCGGUCUGAGAGGAUGAACGGCCACAUUGGAACUGAGACACGGUCCAAACUCCUACGGGAGGCAGCAGUGGGGAAUAUUGCACAAUGGGGGGAACCCUGAUGCAGCGACGCCGCGUGAGCGAAGAAGGUUUUCGAAUCGUAAAGCUCUGUCCUAUGAGAAGAUAAUGACGGUAUCAUAGGAGGAAGCCCCGGCUAAAUACGUGCCAGCAGCCGCGGUAAUACGUAUGGGGCGAGCGUUGUCCGGAAUUAUUGGGCGUAAAGGGUACGUAGGCGGUUUUUUAAGUCAGGUGUGAAAGCGUGAGGCUUAACCUCAUUAAGCACUUGAAACUGGAAGACUUGAGUGAAGGAGAGGAAAGUGGAAUUCCUAGUGUAGCGGUGAAAUGCGUAGAUAUUAGGAGGAAUACCGGUGGCGAAGGCGACUUUCUGGACUUUUACUGACGCUCAGGUACGAAAGCGUGGGGAGCAAACGGG
This 746-nucleotide ribosomal RNA is filed under the name uncultured Parvimonas sp. Its description in RNAcentral is "bacterial SSU rRNA". It matches the Rfam family "Bacterial small subunit ribosomal RNA", at positions 28 to 776 of the family's 1533-position model. The record is from RNAcentral. Lineage: Bacteria; Bacillati; Bacillota; Tissierellia; Tissierellales; Peptoniphilaceae.